GACUGCGCCGGGUGCCAGGCGGGAGGUGUACCGGCACCGCAAAUGGUUUGUACGGCUCAGAGGCUGCCGGUGGCUCGGGGCAGCGCCUGUUUGCUGCGGUACAACCGGGGGCCAUCUGCCUACACCUGCCCAUGAAUGAGCAAAACACAUGAGGACGAGCUCCUCAGAGCACCCUGGUCCCCGCCAGCAGCUCUGCCCGUCCCAAAGAGAUGGUGGCUGCGUGUGCCUUCGGGUGGGGACCCUGCACCCGCCAUAGCUGCUUCCCUGCGGCUUUGUGAAGGCAUUUCAAUGAGCCUGGAGUCACUGCAGGCACGCAGAAACGGAGGAUUUGGGAGCACAAACCCCCGUGCCUGGGAUGAGGCUCGCAGCAGACCUGCAAACGCCGGGGGUCAGGCACUACCAGUCCGCAUAAGCGGAGUCUCCCACCCACUCUGCCGAAGCACGAAUGACUCCACAGCACGCGGAGCACAUGGUGAUCAACUCCUCAAUCUGUUCUUUUUUUCCCGGCCCCCCACCCCCUUUUAAUUGCUUGUGAUCACUCUCAAGCUUUAACCCAGCCUCGCUGAACGUGAUUCAUCUUGGCUGCUGUUAAGGCAGAAUGGGAAAGUUACAGCGCUGCUCUCCACUGCAUCGACGUGAUAGACCCUGCCCAUGAAAUAAUCUAUAGCUGGCGUUAUGGGGCCAUAUAUCCUCUUGAAUUGCAACACCCUAAAUGCGACAAACAGCCACUUAAUCGAUACGAGUUCAUUCUCCGUUCUCCUUCUUUAUGGAAAAUUGGGCAGACUCCCAACCUGUUUCCAUAGGAACGGGCUGGGAGACUCGGAGAACCACCGGCUGCCGAAGGCCCGGCAUUAACGCAGCCUCGGCGUCUGCUUCGCACUGGCAGAAGCUCCAGCAGCCCCCCGACAUCGCGGCCACGUAAAGCCGAGUCAAUUUGUGCUGGAGAUAAGGAGCUGCCGGCUGAUAACCGGCUUAUGUGUGGGUAUCUGCGUUAUCCCCGCGGAUUUUGGCGGAGGAUGGAGAGGGCUCCUUUUCUCGCCCAGCACCAGCAUCCCGGGAUGCCGGGGCUCAU
Long non-coding RNA from Gymnogyps californianus (California condor), 1072 nucleotides. RefSeq lists it as uncharacterized. The record is from RefSeq and is a predicted model, not a curated record. The transcript is spliced from 3 exons. NCBI's taxonomy places the organism in Eukaryota, Metazoa, Chordata, Aves, Accipitriformes, Cathartidae.